Molecule: long non-coding RNA, 489 nt
Organism: Fundulus heteroclitus (mummichog)
Lineage: Eukaryota; Metazoa; Chordata; Actinopteri; Cyprinodontiformes; Fundulidae
Exons: 3
Source: RefSeq, a predicted model, not a curated record
GAAGUGCACUUGACAACAAGAUGGAGCGCCAGAAAAAGAAAAAAAAGCUAUCCGGGGCGCAAAGCAGAAAAAGGAAAAGGGAGAAGAAUAAAGAUGUUGGCGGGAUGAAAAAAAGCCUUUCAGUGUGGUUGAAAGACAGCAGUGGAGAACGCCACAGACAAAGGGUGAAGGAGACAGGCAAUGAGGUCGGUGAUAGAAGAGACAAGUGAUGACAUCAGGCAGACACGGUGAGUCAACCACCACAAAGGAGAAUGUGAAACAGAAAGGUGCAGAUGAGGGAGAGAGAAGCAGAGAGGACCAGAUGAUGAAGAAGAGGUAGAGGAGCAGAGAGUGCUGAGGCCAGGCUUUAUUCAGAAGAUCCAUUUGAAUGUUCUUUACCACACAAAACGGGGGACACAUUUAGGCAGUACAUGGUUGAGAACGGCCCACACAAAGUUUCUGAUGGCCCAUAUCCAAGAUCAGAGAAGAGUAAGAGGUGUUUUUCCAAAG